This 460-nucleotide ribosomal RNA is filed under the name uncultured bacterium. RNAcentral's name for it is "partial 16S ribosomal RNA". It matches the Rfam family "Bacterial small subunit ribosomal RNA", at positions 338 to 795 of the family's 1533-position model. The record is from RNAcentral.
CCUACGGGAGGCAGCAGUGAGGAAUAUUGGUCAAUGGACGCAAGUCUGAACCAGCCAUGCCGCGUGCAGGAAGACGGCUCUAUGAGUUGUAAACUGCUUUUGUACGAGGGUAAACGCAGAUACGCGUAUCUGUCUGAAAGUAUCGUACGAAUAAGGAUCGGCUAACUGCGUGCCAGCAGCCGCGGUAAUACGGAGGAUUCAAGCGUUAUCCGGAUUUAAUGGGGUUAAAGGGGGCGUAGGCGGUCGGAUAAGUUAGAGGUGAAAUCCCGAGGCUCAACUUCGGAAUUGCCUCUGAUACUGUUCGGCUAGAGAGUAGUUGCGGUAGGCGGAAUGUAUGGUGUAGCGGUGAAAUGCUUAGAGAUCAUACAGAACACCGAUUGCGAAGGCAGCUUACCAAGCUUCUUCUGACGUUGAGGCACGAAAGCGUGGGGAGCAAACAGGAUUAGAUACCCGAGUAGUC